Molecule: ribosomal RNA, 1298 nt
Filed under: Triticum aestivum (bread wheat)
Lineage: Eukaryota; Viridiplantae; Streptophyta; Magnoliopsida; Poales; Poaceae
Description: partial small subunit ribosomal RNA
Source: RNAcentral
GUUUACUUCGCCUGCUCCCCUUGAGAGGCCCUGUUUGUUCGUUUCCCCUUCCCCAUCGAUAGGAAGCUUGAGCGGGGCACAACCUUAGAACAUGUCUCAAGCUAAGGGCCGCCACGUUAACGGUACCUGCUCGUCAAAUAGGAGGCGCACGGGGGUAGGCACCGCCUCGUCUAGCUCGCAGAAUACUUGCUUAGACGGCGGCCGAGUAGGAGGUUGGGGCUGCUGCGGAGGGAGCUGGAGAGGAAGAGUCUCCUACCUUCCUCACCGUGUAAAUACUAACCUUUGGUCUCCAAAGGACGUAGAGAGAACCUAGAAGGUUGGCAACACCUCAGUAUAUUCUGUAUACUACUAAGGAAAAAUCAAUUUUGACGACUAUAACCAGUCUACCAUUACCAUUCUCUUCUUUUACUAGGACGAGGUCUUCCUCGACUUAUGUUCGUACCUGAAUGGGGAGGGUACUCCCUACGUGCGUCCGCUGCAAAAGCGUCUCUCGGGCUGAACUUACGUCUCGAACAAGUGGCUCAACUCUUCCUAGAAUAUUCAUAAUACGUUCCUCACGGACAGUCAUAGGAAAACUAGACACUCUAAAACGGUUUACGAAGCCGGAUAACGUUAUCUUGUUUACUGAUCAUUAAACAAAACAAGACAUAAUAAAUCAACCAUCAGGACGUGAAGGUAACCGAGUAGUUGAAGCAUUACUUAGUUGACGAACGGGAAAUGAAAUCUUCGGUACUACAGAUAUACAUCAAGGGAACAACUAUUCCUAUUGCAAGUCUUAGAGAAUUCGUACAGUAAUAUCACUAGCGUAUAUUUCCCAAGGUUUGGAUUGGAAGUUUUGGACCUUACGGAGCAGCUUUCAACAAAAGAUAGGGCUGCCGUAGUGCAAGUACCCAGUUUGGUAGUAUUUUUCUUUGGAGCGACAAAUAUACGUUUAGACAGACGCACACUUCAAGAAAUUGAACAAACACCUGGUCUUACGAUCACAUCGACCUCCGCCACUUCCACCACUAGCGUUCUUUCGACGUGGUCGAGAACGUGGGUUCGCAUUGCAAGUUCUCGGACGACGUUUACCGCUUCUUCGACUCCGACUAGCCUCGCUGAGACUGCUCAGUCUGUCGACUUCACCUGGUCUUAUGGUCUUAUCUGUGACGUCGAAGUCAACCGGCUCGUUUGGGUCACAUACAUAAUCCGCUAAGUCUAGUUUCUUACGCGUGAAAAUGGUUCGUUCGCGCGAACAACAGAGGAUGACAUGACUAGUAGUAGAGUAGUCAUUAUUAUUCUCACGCUGCUGAAAGGUA